UGCCAGCCGCCGCGGUAAUACGGAGGGUGCAAGCGUUGUCCGGAAUCAUUGGGUGUAAAGGGUGCGUAGGCGGAUGUCUAAGUCUGAGGUGAAAUCUUGCCGCUUAACGGUAAAAUGGCCUUGGAUACUGGAUAUCUUGAGUGUAGAAGAGGCAGGUGGAAUUCGUAGUGUAGCGGUGAAAUGCAUAGAUAUUACGAAGAACAUCAGUGGCGAAGGCGGCCUGCUGGUCUACAACUGACGCUGAGGCACGAAAGCGUGGGGAGCGAACAGGAUUAGAUA
This 279-nucleotide ribosomal RNA is filed under the name uncultured bacterium. RNAcentral's name for it is "partial 16S ribosomal RNA". It matches the Rfam family "Bacterial small subunit ribosomal RNA", at positions 506 to 784 of the family's 1533-position model. The record is from RNAcentral.